Molecule: ribosomal RNA, 800 nt
Filed under: bacterium ZY-2006d
Lineage: Bacteria
Description: partial 16S ribosomal RNA
Source: RNAcentral
ACAUGCAAGUCGAACGAUGACUCCCAGUGCUGCUGGGAGACUUAUGGGUAAAGGGUGGAAUCGUGCCUUUCUAACCUGCCUUUUCCUCGGGAAUUUGCCUGAAACCUGAUACGCCCUUCGGAUAAAAGAUUUAUCCGCAAGGGAUCGGUUGGAAAGAGAUUUCGUACUUGGUGGGGUUCAGGGCUUAUCGCUUGUUGGUGAGGCUGGUCUGACAGGAGGAACGACGGGUUGCCGGCCUGACACGGUGAAAACUCCUACUGGAACUGACACUGGGCCCUAAUUCCUACUGGAGGCAAGCCUGAUCAAUAUUGGCAAUGGAGUGAUGCCUGACUUAGCGUUGUAAAGCUCUUUAUGACGGCCUUAUAAUGGCUGACCUCUUUCAAUAAGCCCCAAGCUAAAGUGACGCCACCUGCGCGGAAUACCGGCUAACUUCGUGCCGCUCGCAAUCACUGUACGUAAGGGGCGAGUAUUAUCACUUUUUAUUGGGAGGAGAAAGCUCGGAGCUCAUUUGUGGAAUUGGCUUCGAUACUGCGAGUCUUAACCCCGGAUCAGCUUGGGGGACCUGCAAACGAAAAGGUAAAAUUCGAAACUGUUCUUCCGAACGUAGCGGUGGAAUGCGCACAUAUGAUCAGAAACUCCCAUGGAGAAGGCAGAGCUCGGGGAUGAAACUGAAUUAGAUACCCUGAUACUUGACGAGCUAAACGAUUAAUGUACCCUGUUGGUCCGUGCGCUCUACGUUGGCCACUAUAAGUGUUUACCAUUCCGCCUGGCGAGUACGCAGCUAAGAUAUUAAGUGCCCG